Solanum dulcamara is the source of this 119-nucleotide small nucleolar RNA. Lineage: Eukaryota; Viridiplantae; Streptophyta; Magnoliopsida; Solanales; Solanaceae. The record is from RefSeq and is a predicted model, not a curated record.
GAGUUAUUAAAGAGUGUGUUUAUCACAUAGCAUUGAAGGUUGGUGCUAUCAAUAAGCGAUUCUCCGUGUCUUUCAAAUACUUCUCAUUUUGAUUACAGCCUCGAACAAAUCGCUAAAUU